RNAcentral lists this ribosomal RNA (481 nucleotides) under uncultured bacterium. RNAcentral's name for it is "bacterial SSU rRNA". It matches the Rfam family "Bacterial small subunit ribosomal RNA", at positions 29 to 507 of the family's 1533-position model. The record is from RNAcentral.
GUAAACGUUGGCGGCGUGCCUAACACAUGCAAGUCGUACGAUCCUUAAGUGGCUUGCCAUUUAAGGAGAGUGGCGAACGGGUGAGUAACACGUGAGUAAUCUGCCCCUAAGUGAGGAAUAACUCCGCGAAAGCGGGGCUAAUACUGCAUAAAACUCUGAAGCACAUGCUUUCAGAGUCAAAGCCCCUCGGGGCGCUUGGGGAUGAGCUCGCGGCCUAUUAGCUAGUUGGUGGGGUAAUGGCCUACCAAGGUAAUGAUGGGUAGCCGGCCUGAGAGGGUGUACGGCCACACUGGAACUGCGACACGGUCCAGACUCCUACGGGAGGCAGCAGUGGGGAAUUUUGCGCAAUGGGCGAAAGCCUGACGCAGCGACGCCGCGUGGAGGAUUAAGGCCUUCGGGUUGUAAACUCCUGUCAGAGGUGAAGAAUGCCCUUUAGGGGGGUUUGACGGUAACCUCAGAGGAAGCCCCGGCUAACUACGUG